RNAcentral lists this ribosomal RNA (431 nucleotides) under uncultured bacterium. RNAcentral describes it as "partial 16S ribosomal RNA". It matches the Rfam family "Bacterial small subunit ribosomal RNA", at positions 29 to 507 of the family's 1533-position model. The record is from RNAcentral.
AGCGAACGCUGGCGGCAGGCUUAACACAUGCAAGUCGAGCGCCCCGCAAGGGGAGCGGCAGACGGGUGAGUAACACGUGGGAACGUACCCUUUGGUUCGGAACAACCCAGGGAAACUUGGGCUAAUACCGGAUAAGUCCGCGAGGAGAAAGAUUUAUCGCCGAAGGAUCGGCCCGCGUCUGAUUAGCUAGUUGGUGUGGUAACGGCGCACCAAGGCGACGAUCAGUAGCUGGUCUGAGAGGAUGAUCAGCCACACUGGGACUGAGACACGGCCCAGACUCCUACGGGAGGCAGCAGUGGGGAAUAUUGGAAAAUGGGGGCAACCCUGAUCCAGCCAUGCCGCGUGAGUGAUGAAGGCCCUAGGGUUGUAAAGCUCUUUCGGUGGGGAAGAUAAUGACGGUACCCACAGAAGAAGCCCCGGCUAACUUCGUG